RNAcentral lists this ribosomal RNA (468 nucleotides) under uncultured bacterium. RNAcentral's name for it is "partial 16S ribosomal RNA". It matches the Rfam family "Bacterial small subunit ribosomal RNA", at positions 28 to 507 of the family's 1533-position model. The record is from RNAcentral.
GACGAACGCUGGCGGCGUGCUUAACACAUGCAAGUCGAGCGGAAAGGCCCUGCUUUUGUGGGGUGCUCGAGUGGCGAACGGGUGAGUAACACGUGAGUAACCUGCCCUUGACUUUGGGAUAACUUCAGGAAACUGGGGCUAAUACCGGAUAGGAGCUCCUGCUGCACGGUGGGGGUUGGAAAGUUUCGGCGGUUGGGGAUGGACUCGCGGCUUAUCAGCUUGUUGGUGGGGUAGUGGCUUACCAAGGCUUUGACGGGUAGCCGGCCUGAGAGGGUGACCGGCCACAUUGGGACUGAGAUACGGCCCAGACUCCUACGGGAGGCAGCAGUGGGGAAUAUUGCACAAUGGGCGGAAGCCUGAUGCAGCAACGCCGCGUGCGGGAUGACGGCCUUCGGGUUGUAAACCGCUUUCGCCUGUGACGAAGCGUGAGUGACGGUAAUGGGUAAAGAAGCACCGGCUAACUACGUG